AUUCACAUUUGGCGCGCUCUGGCACCAUGCGCCCUGGGGGUAGAUGCUAGAAUCAAGUGGGCUAAGGGACCUUUUCCGUAAAGGGGAGGAGUUACGACGCAAGGGGGAGGAGCUAGGCCAGCGGGAUAGUUCCUCUACUAUCCACGCCACCAACUAUUACCUUUAGUAAUUGGGUGGUGAGCGGAGCGGAGCGAGCCACCGUGCCCGAAGCGUGGCGAGCGAAGCAAGCCCGCGAGGGUACUUUUCGGGUACCCUGUUCGCCCGUAGCUCCUCCCCUGGUAACGUAGCUCCUCCCCUCAAUACGUCACAAGGUCCCUUCAGCCCCUCCGAUAUAGAACCAACCAUGCGCUGGGUGGUUGAAAACUACUUAAGGAAAUCAUGGUCCUAGUGGUCCUGGAGGUCAUGGUGGUCCAGGUGGUCCUAGUGGUUCUGAUGGUCCUGGAGGUCUUGAUGGUCCUGAAGGUCCAGGCAGUAACGGCGGUCAUGGCUUCUAUCCGUUUGACAACCAAAAUGUAACCGGACUGCCCCCACAUUACAACGUUUCUCUUGGCAUCAACCCUCCAAGACACGGCAGAGAUGAUCCUAGAGGUCCUGGUGGUCCUGAAGGUCCAGACGGUAACGACAGUCAUGGCUUCUAUCCAUUUGACAACAAAAAUGUAACUGGACUGCCCCCACAUUAUAACGUUUCUCUUGGCAUCAACCCUCCAAGACACGACAGAGAUGGUCCUGGUGGUCCUGAAGGUCCAGGCGGUAACGGCAGUCAUGGCUUCUAUCCAUUUAACAACCAAAAUGUAACUGGACUGCCCCCACAUUAUAACGUUUCUCAUGGCAUCAACCCUCCAAGACACGGCAGAGAUGGUCCUGGAGGUCCUGGUGGUCCUGAAGGUCCAGGCGGUAACGGCAGUCAUGGCUUCUAUCCAUUUAACAACCAAAAUGUAACUGGACUGCCCCCACAUUAUAACGUUUCUCAUGGCAUCAACCCUCCAAGACACGGCAGAGAUGGUCCUGGAGGUCCUGGUGGUCCCAAUUGAAAUGAAACCAACAUUAAAAUGUGGAUAUGCAGCUCCAGCAAUAACAACAGUAAACUCAUAGCAUGUAGUGUUAAAUGCAAAUAAACAGAAAGCUAAAAUAAAA
RNA transcript from Pseudophryne corroboree (corroboree frog), 1134 nucleotides. It is a transcript of the gene named S-antigen protein-like, with no coding region annotated. The record is from RefSeq and is a predicted model, not a curated record. The transcript is spliced from 3 exons. NCBI's taxonomy places the organism in Eukaryota, Metazoa, Chordata, Amphibia, Anura, Myobatrachidae.